GAUGAACGCUGGCGGCGUGCCUAAUACAUGCAAGUCGAGCGAACAGACGAGGAGCUUGCUCCUCUGACGUUAGCGGCGGACGGGUGAGUAACACGUGGAUAACCUACCUAUAAGACUGGGAUAACUUCGGGAAACCGGAGCUAAUACCGGAUAAUAUAUUGAACCGCAUGGUUCAAUAGUGAAAGACGGUUUUGCUGUCACUUAUAGAUGGAUCCGCGCCGCAUUAGCUAGUUGGUAAGGUAACGGCUUACCAAGGCAACGAUGCGUAGCCGACCUGAGAGGGUGAUCCGCCACACUGGAACUGAGACACGGUCCAGACUCCUACGGGAGGCAGCAGUAGGGAAUCUUCCGCAAUGGGCGAAAGCCUGACGGAGCAACGCCGCGUGAAUGAUGAAGGUCUUCGGAUCGUAAAACUCUGUUAUUAGGGAAGAACAAAUGUGUAAGUAACUAUGCACGUCUUGACGGUACCUAAUCAGAAAGCCACGGCUAACUACGUG
RNAcentral lists this ribosomal RNA (497 nucleotides) under uncultured bacterium. RNAcentral describes it as "partial 16S ribosomal RNA". It matches the Rfam family "Bacterial small subunit ribosomal RNA", at positions 28 to 507 of the family's 1533-position model. The record is from RNAcentral.